Molecule: ribosomal RNA, 301 nt
Filed under: uncultured bacterium
Lineage: Bacteria
Description: partial 16S ribosomal RNA
Rfam family: Bacterial small subunit ribosomal RNA
Source: RNAcentral
CAGUCGCCGCGGUAAUACGUAGGUGGCAAGCGUUGUCCGGAAUUAUUGGGCGUAAAGCGCGCGCAGGCGGAUAGGUCAGUCUGUCUUAAAAGUUCGGGGCUUAACCCCGUGAUGGGAUGGAAACUGCCAAUCUAGAGUAUCGGAGAGGAAAGUGGAAUUCCUAGUGUAGCGGUGAAAUGCGUAGAUAUUAGGAAGAACACCAGUGGCGAAGGCGACUUUCUGGACGAAAACUGACGCUGAGGCGCGAAAGCCAGGGGAGCGAACGGGAUUAGAGACCCCAGUAGUCCCUGUCUCUUAUACA